AUUGAACGCUGGCGGCAUGCCUUACACAUGCAAGUCGAACGGCAGCGGGGGAGAAGCUUGCUUUUCCUGCCGGCGAGUGGCGAACGGGUGAGUAAUACAUCGGAACGUGCCCUGUAGUGGGGGAUAACUAGUCGAAAGAUUAGCUAAUACCGCAUACGACCUGAGGGUGAAAGUGGGGGACCGCAAGGCCUCAUGCUAUAGGAGCGGCCGAUGUCUGAUUAGCUAGUUGGUGGGGUAAAGGCCUACCAAGGCGACGAUCAGUAGCUGGUCUGAGGGGCCGAUCAGCCACACUGGGACUGAGAAACGGCCCAGACUCCUACGGGAGGCAGCAGGGGGGGAUUUUGGACAAUGGGCGAAAGCCUGAUCCAGCAAUGCCGCGUGUGUGAAGAAGGCCUUCGGGUUGUAAAGCACUUUUGUCCGGAAAGAAAUGGCUCUGGUUAAUACCUGGGGUCGAUGACGGUACCGGAAGAAUAAGGACCGGCUAACUACGUGCCAGCCGCCGCAGUAA
Molecule: ribosomal RNA, 508 nt
Filed under: uncultured bacterium
Lineage: Bacteria
Description: partial 16S ribosomal RNA
Rfam family: Bacterial small subunit ribosomal RNA
Source: RNAcentral